This 344-nucleotide ribosomal RNA is filed under the name uncultured bacterium. Its description in RNAcentral is "bacterial SSU rRNA". It matches the Rfam family "Bacterial small subunit ribosomal RNA", at positions 8 to 334 of the family's 1533-position model. The record is from RNAcentral.
AGGGUUUGAUCAUGGCUCAGGAUGAACGCUGGCGGCGUGCUUAACACAUGCAAGUCGAACGAAGCUGUUAAAAGGAAGCCUUCGGGUGAAAUUUUAAUAGACUUAGUGGCGGACGGGUGAGUAACGCGUGGAUAACCUGCCUUAUACAGGGGGAUAACGGAGAGAAAUUUCCGCUAACACCGCAUAAGACCACAGCACCGCAUGGUGCAGGGGUAAAAUAUUUAUAGGUAUAAGAUGGAUCCGCGUCCGAUUAGCUAGUUGGUGAGGUAAAGGCCCACCAAGGCGACGAUCGGUAGCCGGCCUGAGAGGGUGAACGGCCACAUUGGGACUGAGACACGGCCCAA